GCGUCAAUAGUGCAACGGAAAGAGCACACGAAUUCCCGGAAAGAGUGAGGUGCGGGUUCUAGUCCCGCCUGAGGCG
Non-coding RNA from Parelaphostrongylus tenuis, 76 nucleotides. NCBI's taxonomy places the organism in Eukaryota, Metazoa, Nematoda, Chromadorea, Rhabditida, Metastrongylidae. The record is from the annotation of a GenBank genome assembly.